GGGGACGAAACUGGUUUCGACGGGUUACGUGGUGUUAGCGGCGGCAUGUCGAGGAGGUCCUGGUCACCUCGUAAAUCAACCGGGAAAACAAUGUAAUUGCAGACAAUUACAACUACGCUCUGGCUGCUUAAUUGACGGCCAGCGCCCGCUUUUGGUCGUGCCCGCUGGGCUGAAAGAUGGGCGUCAGAUACAGCAGGAUAGUCAUCUGUGAUACCUCGGCAGAGAUGACGAAACUUGCGAGGCUGGAUCGCUUGCGGUUUGUUCGACGCACCAAAAGUGAUCGAGACGCAAGCGUUGAACUACACAUGUAGAUGCUGCUAUGGCCGGUUUCUCGGACGCGGGUUCGACUCCCGCCGUCUCCACAA
RNAcentral lists this transfer-messenger RNA (365 nucleotides) under bacterium. RNAcentral's name for it is "Zgenome-0027 sp003854995 Standard tmRNA". It matches the Rfam family "transfer-messenger RNA". Rfam says of the family: Bacterial tmRNA, also known as 10Sa RNA or SsrA, is named for its dual tRNA and mRNA-like properties. RNAcentral also lists the same sequence under 1 other name. The record is from RNAcentral.